AUGAAGAACUUUUCGACGACGCCCCGGCCAAAGAGGAGGAGAGAAAAGUACUUCAAUGAACUAGAUUCCCAAAUGAAGCUUCCACAAAUGAGCCUUCAAUCUUUAGGCCUUGAUCACAAGGAGUUUCUUCCGGUCCGUGCGCACGCAACUAAGAUCAUCCUCAAAGCGGCAAAGUCUGUAGUAUUUAUUUCAUCAUAUAUUGAUAAUAAGUUGUUGAGACAGUGCUCUGGCUUCCUGAUCGAAUGGGAUGAGAAUAGUAAAGAUGCAGUGGUUUUGACAUCCACACAUCUUAUCUGCUGCGAGGAUUCCUUGAAUGAGUGGUCAGGCGAACAUAAGUAUACGCCUGAUGCAGAGGUCUAUAUUCAGUUGGCGAAUGAUAGCAUCAAGGGCCAAUUAUUGUAUUACCAUAAGCACUAUGGUUUUGCUCUGAUUCGUGUAACUAUGGGUCGACCUGCCGAGUUGGCUCACUUUGGAAAUGAAGUUAACUUGGCGCAACUUGUGUAUGUUCUCGGGAGAGAUGAAAACUUCAAUAUACAACUAAGCAAUGGCAGAGUCCAGUAUGAAGGCCCAACCAUAUAUGAGUAUCACCAUCACAUGCACGUGGAAGCUGUAGUCCAAUAUACAACUAAGCAAUGGCAGAGUCCAGUAUGA
Molecule: ribosomal RNA, 651 nt
Filed under: Triticum aestivum (bread wheat)
Lineage: Eukaryota; Viridiplantae; Streptophyta; Magnoliopsida; Poales; Poaceae
Description: partial small subunit ribosomal RNA
Source: RNAcentral